UGGAGGAAAAGAAACCAACCGGGAUUGCCUUAGUAACGGCGAGUGAAGCGGCAAAAGCUCAAAUUUGAAAUCUGGCACCUUCGGUGUCCGAGUUGUAAUUUGAAGAAGCUACUUUGGGGCUAGUCCUUGUCUAUGAACCUCGGAACAGGACGUCAUGGAGGGUGAGAAUCCCGUAUGGCGAGGAGUCUAGUCCUAUGUAAAGGGCUUUCGACGAGUCGAGUUGUUUGGGAAUGCAGCUCUAAGUGGGUGGUAAAUUCCAUCUAAAGCUAAAUAUUGGCGAGAGACCGAUAGCGAACAAGUACAGUGAUGGAAAGAUGAAAAGAACUUUGAAAAGAGAGUGAAAAAGUACGUGAAAUUGUUGAAAGGGAAGGGCAUUUGAUCAGACAUGGUGUUUUGCGACCCUCGCUCCUUGUGGGUGGGGAUCUCGCAGCUCACUGGGCCGACAUCAGUUUUGGCGGUAGGAUAAAUCUUUGGGAACGUGGCUUGUCUUCGGAGAAGCGUUAUAGCCCAGGGGAAUACUGCCAGCCGGGACUGAGGACUGCGACUUUUGUCAAGGAUGUUGGCAUAAUGGGU
Molecule: ribosomal RNA, 573 nt
Filed under: Lachancea thermotolerans
Lineage: Eukaryota; Fungi; Ascomycota; Saccharomycetes; Saccharomycetales; Saccharomycetaceae
Description: eukaryotic LSU rRNA
Rfam family: Eukaryotic large subunit ribosomal RNA
Source: RNAcentral